UGGGGAAUAUUGGACAAUGGGGGGAACCCUGAUCCAGCCAUGCCGCGUGUGUGAAGAAGGCCUUAUGGUUGUAAAGCACUUUAAGCGAGGAGGAGGGUACUGGUAUUAAUACUACCAGCUACUGGACGUUACUCGCAGAAUAAGCACCGGCUAACUCUGUGCCAGCAGCCGCGGUAAUACAGAGGGCGCGAGCGUUAAUCGGAUUUACUGGGCGUAAAGCGUGCGUAGGCGGCUAAUUGAGUCGGAUGUGAAAUCCCCGAGCUUAACUUGGGAAUUGCAUUCGAUACUGGUUAGCUAGAGUGUGGGAGAGGAUGGUAGAAUUCCAGGUGUAGCGGUGAAAUGCGUAGAGAUCUGGAGGAAUACCGAUGGCGAAGGCAGCCAUCUGGCCUAACACUGACGCUGAGGUACGAAAGCAUGGGGAGCAAACAGG
Molecule: ribosomal RNA, 430 nt
Filed under: Pseudomonadota bacterium
Lineage: Bacteria; Pseudomonadati; Pseudomonadota
Description: Proteobacteria bacterium partial 16S ribosomal RNA
Rfam family: Bacterial small subunit ribosomal RNA
Source: RNAcentral